CCUACGGGAGGCAGCAGUGAGGAAUAUUGGUCAAUGGACGAAAGUCUGAACCAGCCAUGCCGCGUGCAGGAUGACGGCCCUACAGGUUGUAAACUGCUUUUAUAAGGGAAUAAACCCCCCGACGUGUCGGGGGCUGAAGGUACCUUACGAAUAAGGAUCGGCUAACUCCGUGCCAGCAGCCGCGGUAAUACGGAGGAUCCAAGCGUUAUCCGGAUUCAUUGGGUUUAAAGGGUCCGCAGGCGGGUUAUUAAGUCAGUGGUGAAAUCCUGCAGCUUAACUGUAGAACUGCCAUUGAUACUGGUAAUCUUGAGUGUGGUUGAAGUGGGCGGAAUGUGUCAUGUAGCGGCGAAAUGCAUAGAUAUGACACAGAACACCGAUUGCGAAGGCAGCUCACUAAGCCAUUACUGACGCUCAGGGACGAAAGCGUGGGGAGCGAACAGGAUUAGAUACCCUGGUAGUCCACGCCGUAAACGAUGAUCACUCGCUGUUGGCGAUACACAGUCAGCGGCCAAGCGAAAGCAUUAAGUGAUCCACCUGGGGAGUACGCCGGCAACGGUGAAACUCAAAGGAAUUGACGG
This 578-nucleotide ribosomal RNA is filed under the name uncultured bacterium. RNAcentral's name for it is "bacterial SSU rRNA". It matches the Rfam family "Bacterial small subunit ribosomal RNA", at positions 338 to 916 of the family's 1533-position model. The record is from RNAcentral.